UACAGAGGUCUCAAGCGUUGUUCGGAUUCAUUGGGCGUAAAGGGCGCGUAGGCGGCCCUCCUUGUCGCGUGUGAAAGCCCCGGGCUCAACCUGGGAAUUGCGCGCGAAACGGGGGGGCUUGAGUUCGGGAGAGGAGCGUGGAAUUCCCAGUGUAGAGGUGAAAUUCGUAGAUAUUGGGAAGAACACCGGUGGCGAAGGCGGCGCUCUGGACCGAGACUGACGCUGAGGCGCGAAAGCGUGGGGAGCAAACAGG
RNAcentral lists this ribosomal RNA (253 nucleotides) under uncultured bacterium. Its description in RNAcentral is "partial 16S ribosomal RNA". It matches the Rfam family "Bacterial small subunit ribosomal RNA", at positions 524 to 776 of the family's 1533-position model. The record is from RNAcentral.